This 356-nucleotide ribosomal RNA is filed under the name uncultured bacterium. RNAcentral describes it as "partial 16S ribosomal RNA". It matches the Rfam family "Bacterial small subunit ribosomal RNA", at positions 338 to 691 of the family's 1533-position model. The record is from RNAcentral.
CCUACGGGUGGCAGCAGUGAGGAAUAUUGGUCAAUGGGCGCGAGCCUGAACCAGCCAAGUAGCGUGAAGGAUGACUGCCCUACGGGUUGUAAACUUCUGUUAUCAAGGACUAAAGUGAGGCACGUGUGCCUUUUUGUAUGUACUUUAUUAAUAAGGAUCGGCUAACUCCGUGCCAGCAGACGCGGGAAUACGGAGGUUCCGAGCGUUAGCCGGAUUUAUUGGGUUUAAAGGGAGCGUAGAUGGGUUGUUAAGUGAGUUGUGAAAGUUUGCGGCUCAACCGUAAAAUUGCAAUUGAUACUGGCAGUCUUGAGGACAGUUGAGGGAGGCGGAAUUCGUGGUGUAGCGGUGAAAUGCUU